Molecule: ribosomal RNA, 547 nt
Filed under: uncultured bacterium
Lineage: Bacteria
Description: bacterial SSU rRNA
Rfam family: Bacterial small subunit ribosomal RNA
Source: RNAcentral
UGGGGAAUAUUGCGCAAUGGGGGGAACCCUGACGCAGCCAUGCCGCGUGAAUGAAGAAGGCCUUCGGGUUGUAAAGUUCUUUCGGUAUUGAGGAAGGUUGAUGUGUUAAUAGCACAUCAAAUUGACGUUAAAUACAGAAGAAGCACCGGCUAACUCCGUGCCAGCAGCCGCGGUAAUACGGAGGGUGCGAGCGUUAAUCGGAAUAACUGGGCGUAAAGGGCACGCAGGCGGUUAUUUAAGUGAGGUGUGAAAGCCCCGGGCUUAACCUGGGAAUUGCAUUUCAGACUGGGUAACUAGAGUACUUUAGGGAGGGGUAGAAUUCCACGUGUAGCGGUGAAAUGCGUAGAGAUGUGGAGGAAUACCGAAGGCGAAGGCAGCCCCUUGGGAAUGUACUGACGCUCAUGUGCGAAAGCGUGGGGAGCAAACAGGAUUAGAUACCCUGGUAGUCCACGCUGUAAACGCUGUCGAUUUGGGGGUUGGGGUUUAACUCUGGCGCCCGUAGCUAACGUAAUAAAUCGACCGCCUGGGGAGUACGGCCGCAAGGUUA